RNAcentral lists this ribosomal RNA (2901 nucleotides) under Escherichia coli B26-2. RNAcentral describes it as "bacterial LSU rRNA". It matches the Rfam family "Bacterial large subunit ribosomal RNA". The record is from RNAcentral. Lineage: Bacteria; Pseudomonadati; Pseudomonadota; Gammaproteobacteria; Enterobacterales; Enterobacteriaceae.
UUAAGCGACUAAGCGUACACGGUGGAUGCCCUGGCAGUCAGAGGCGAUGAAGGACGUGCUAAUCUGCGAUAAGCGUCGGCAAGGUGAUAUGAACCGUUAUAACCGGCGAUUUCCGAAUGGGGAAACCCAGUGUGAUUCGUCACACUAUCAUUAACUGAAUCCAUAGGUUAAUGAGGCGAACCGGGGGAACUGAAACAUCUAAGUACCCCGAGGAAAAGAAAUCAACCGAGAUUCCCCCAGUAGCGGCGAGCGAACGGGGAGGAGCCCAGAGCCUGAAUCAGUGUGUGUGUUAGUGGAAGCGUCUGGAAAGGCGCGCGAUACAGGGUGACAGCCCCGUACACAAAAAUGCACAUACUGUGAGCUCGAUGAGUAGGGCGGGACACGUGGUAUCCUGUCUGAAUAUGGGGGGACCAUCCUCCAAGGCUAAAUACUCCUGACUGACCGAUAGUGAACCAGUACCGUGAGGGAAAGGCGAAAAGAACCCCGGCGAGGGGAGUGAAAAAGAACCUGAAACCGUGUACGUACAAGCAGUGGGAGCCUCUUUUAUGGGGUGACUGCGUACCUUUUGUAUAAUGGGUCAGCGACUUAUAUUCUGUAGCAAGGUUAACCGAAUAGGGGAGCCGAAGGGAAACCGAGUCUUAACCGGGCGUUAAGUUGCAGGGUAUAGACCCGAAACCCGGUGAUCUAGCCAUGGGCAGGUUGAAGGUUGGGUAACACUAACUGGAGGACCGAACCGACUAAUGUUGAAAAAUUAGCGGAUGACUUGUGGCUGGGGGUGAAAGGCCAAUCAAACCGGGAGAUAGCUGGUUCUCCCCGAAAGCUAUUUAGGUAGCGCCUCGUGAAUUCAUCUCCGGGGGUAGAGCACAGUUUCGGCAAGGGGGUCAUCCCGACUUACCAACCCGAUGCAAACUGCGAAUACCGGAGAAUGUUAUCACGGGAGACACACGGCGGGUGCUAACGUCCGUCGUGAAGAGGGAAACAACCCAGACCGCCAGCUAAGGUCCCAAAGUCAUGGUUAAGUGGGAAACGAUGUGGGAAGGCCCAGACAGCCAGGAUGUUGGCUUAGAAGCAGUCAUCAUUUAAAGAAAGCGUAAUAGCUCACUGGUCGAGUCGGCCUGCGCGGAAGAUGUAACGGGGCUAAACCAUGCACCGAAGCUGCGGCAGCGACACUGUGUGUUGUUGGGUAGGGGAGCGUUCUGUAAGCCUGUGAAGGUGUACUGUGAGGUAUGCUGGAGGUAUCAGAAGUGCGAAUGCUGACAUAAGUAACGAUAAAGCGGGUGAAAAGCCCGCUCGCCGGAAGACCAAGGGUUCCUGUCCAACGUUAAUCGGGGCAGGGUGAGUCGACCCCUAAGGCGAGGCCGAAAGGCGUAGUCGAUGGGAAACAGGUUAAUAUUCCUGUACUUGGUGUUACUGCGAAGGGGGGACGGAGAAGGCUAUGUUGGCCGGGCGACGGUUGUCCCGGUUUAAGCGUGUAGGCUGGUUUUCCAGGCAAAUCCGGAAAAUCAAGGCUGAGGCGUGAUGACGAGGCACUACGGUGCUGAAGCAACAAAUGCCCUGCUUCCAGGAAAAGCCUCUAAGCAUCAGGUAACAUCAAAUCGUACCCCAAACCGACACAGGUGGUCAGGUAGAGAAUACCAAGGCGCUUGAGAGAACUCGGGUGAAGGAACUAGGCAAAAUGGUGCCGUAACUUCGGGAGAAGGCACGCUGAUAUGUAGGUGAAGUCCCUCGCGGAUGGAGCUGAAAUCAGUCGAAGAUACCAGCUGGCUGCAACUGUUUAUUAAAAACACAGCACUGUGCAAACACGAAAGUGGACGUAUACGGUGUGACGCCUGCCCGGUGCCGGAAGGUUAAUUGAUGGGGUCAGCGCAAGCGAAGCUCUUGAUCGAAGCCCCGGUAAACGGCGGCCGUAACUAUAACGGUCCUAAGGUAGCGAAAUUCCUUGUCGGGUAAGUUCCGACCUGCACGAAUGGCGUAAUGAUGGCCAGGCUGUCUCCACCCGAGACUCAGUGAAAUUGAACUCGCUGUGAAGAUGCAGUGUACCCGCGGCAAGACGGAAAGACCCCGUGAACCUUUACUAUAGCUUGACACUGAACAUUGAGCCUUGAUGUGUAGGAUAGGUGGGAGGCUUUGAAGUGUGGACGCCAGUCUGCAUGGAGCCGACCUUGAAAUACCACCCUUUAAUGUUUGAUGUUCUAACGUGGACCCGUGAUCCGGGUUGCGGACAGUGUCUGGUGGGUAGUUUGACUGGGGCGGUCUCCUCCUAAAGAGUAACGGAGGAGCACGAAGGUUGGCUAAUCCUGGUCGGACAUCAGGAGGUUAGUGCAAUGGCAUAAGCCAGCUUGACUGCGAGCGUGACGGCGCGAGCAGGUGCGAAAGCAGGUCAUAGUGAUCCGGUGGUUCUGAAUGGAAGGGCCAUCGCUCAACGGAUAAAAGGUACUCCGGGGAUAACAGGCUGAUACCGCCCAAGAGUUCAUAUCGACGGCGGUGUUUGGCACCUCGAUGUCGGCUCAUCACAUCCUGGGGCUGAAGUAGGUCCCAAGGGUAUGGCUGUUCGCCAUUUAAAGUGGUACGCGAGCUGGGUUUAGAACGUCGUGAGACAGUUCGGUCCCUAUCUGCCGUGGGCGCUGGAGAACUGAGGGGGGCUGCUCCUAGUACGAGAGGACCGGAGUGGACGCAUCACUGGUGUUCGGGUUGUCAUGCCAAUGGCACUGCCCGGUAGCUAAAUGCGGAAGAGAUAAGUGCUGAAAGCAUCUAAGCACGAAACUUGCCCCGAGAUGAGUUCUCCCUGACCCUUUAAGGGUCCUGAAGGAACGUUGAAGACGACGACGUUGAUAGGCCGGGUGUGUAAGCGCAGCGAUGCGUUGAGCUAACCGGUACUAAUGAACCGUGAGGCUUAACCUU